AUGGCAAUGGGCAGUGCCAGCAGUGGCUGUGGCAUCCUGGAGCAGGAAGAUUUGGUGCAUUUCUAGUGCAGCAUAGGCCAGAGUGACGUUUCUGACAUUUGGGAUGCUACAGCACUGAUAGAAGUGGAUGAUAAAGCUGUGGCUUCAUUUAAACAGGCUCUAAAGAAUGAUGACAUUUGUGAAACCUCAGAUAAACCAAAAAGCAUGCCUAAUAGAAAACCUGCUAAGAAGCAUAAAGGCCAAAAAAAGAAUACUGUAACUUUCUUGAAGUAGUGGAAAGUUGGGGACAAAUGUCCUGCCAUUUGGUCAGAAGACAGCUGCAUUUACUCUGCUACCAUUGCUUCAGUUGAUAUGAAGAGAGAAAGCUGUGUUGUGAUUUACACUGGAUAUGGAAAUAGAGAGGAGCAAAUCUGUCUGAUCUACUUUCUUCAACCUCUGUAGCUAAUAAUAUAGGACAGAAUGCUCAAAAGAAUGAAAAUGAAAGUCAAGAUUCAAUGGAUGAAAGUGAGAACUCCAGGUCCUGGAAACAAACCAUUUAGCAUCAGGUCAGAAGCUACUCCAUGGAAUUCUGAGACCACGAAAGCCAGGUCAGGUCUCAAAUUCAGUAGCCCACCACCCACACCACCCUGCUUCCCCUCAUGCUUGCUGCCUCCAUUUCCUUCUGGACCACCAAAAAUUCCCCCACCACCUCCCACAGGUCUAGAUUUUCUUGAUGAUGUUAAUGUUUUAUGAAGUAUGCUAAUCUCUUGGUACAUUAAGUGGCUAUCAUACUGGCUAUUAUACAGGGCUCAAGCAAAAUUAAAAAGAGGGAGAGUGCUCACGUUCCAAUUAA
This 832-nucleotide long non-coding RNA is filed under the name Homo sapiens (human). Its description in RNAcentral is "non-protein coding lnc-FOCAD-2:1". The record is from RNAcentral. Lineage: Eukaryota; Metazoa; Chordata; Mammalia; Primates; Hominidae.